CGCUUGCUCGCAUUGCGAAGGUUACCUCCAAAAAUGGCAAUGGCACUCGAGUUCCCCUCGUCGCGCUUGCUCGCAUUGCGAAGGUU
This 86-nucleotide ribosomal RNA is filed under the name uncultured archaeon. RNAcentral's name for it is "partial 16S ribosomal RNA". The record is from RNAcentral.